Long non-coding RNA from Melanotaenia boesemani (Boeseman's rainbowfish), 236 nucleotides. RefSeq lists it as uncharacterized. The record is from RefSeq and is a predicted model, not a curated record. The transcript has 3 exons. Lineage: Eukaryota; Metazoa; Chordata; Actinopteri; Atheriniformes; Melanotaeniidae.
AGCGUGUCUGUCAAUUUGGCCGACGAUCCCAACAAUUUUUUUUAAAAAAAGGCGUGAGACUUGGGUCCAUUUAAGCCUGGGAUUGGCAAAAUUUAUUACAUGUCUUAACCACAACCGUCAACAACCUUCUAAAGAGCAACUAAGGGCUUUUAUACCCUCCUGCUGCAGGAAAUUAGGCCUACUUCCCUCUUUUACCUCUCCUGCCCUGCAAUGAAGACAAGAGGCAGGAUGGCCAG